UUGCAUCAAUACACCAAAAGGAUAUCUGAAGGUUUCAGAGGCAAACAUGGUAAAAUACGCACACACACAUAUAUCGUGCAUUAUUAGCAACGUGCUUUUCACGAUAAAUAGCAACAGAUACUCAGUACUGCAACCAAAACUAAACAGGGGAAAAACCAUACACCCUCACCCAGCAAUUGAAUUCAUUCUUUCAUGAAUUCCUAUGAACAGAUAUCGCUUUCAAAGUACAAAGGGAGUUUUUAAAUAAUUACAACUACGGAACUAACCAAGUUUUGAAUUUUGUUUUAUGAUUUGGUUCAAAAAAUCCUAACUGAUUAUUCUAGGAAUCUUGAUCUAACACAAACACACACACACACACACACAUAUAUAUAUAUAUAUAGAGNNNNNNNNNNNNNNNNNNNNACGUCCGCUCCACAUCCGGCCUAUAUAUAUAUCAAGUGUAUAAAAACUCAGACAUCAACAUUCAAGUUCAGAGGCAAUACCUUGCACAAUCAGUCCGAAGUUUUAAACCAACCAAAUCCAACAGGGGAAUGCUCAAACGAUUGAAUGAUUGACCACCAACUUGAUCAAAUCAAAUUGGUUCCAGACCUGUUUACUUUGGUAAUUUGAUGAAACAAAAACAAAUCAAGCCUCUAACAUUAGAAGUCUGUACAAUAUACUGUAAAAUUUCAAAUUCCCAAUUUCCUAUAUAUCAACUCUAGAACGUCAUUCCUGUUAGGGUUGCGGCUCAAAACUAAUUCCUUGUCUGUUUUGGAUUCUUUGCUUCUGAAGGUUUUGGGUAAGUUAUUCUAGUGUAUCUAGGAUUCUUAGAGUUUAUCCUUAGAAGUAAUGGUUUAGGAUUCCUGUUAUGGUUCUAAAUCCUAUUGUAAGUCGGACUAAUUGUGAGUCUAUAAAUAGGACCUUAGAAGCAUAGUUUUAGGUGUGGUGUGAUGUAGGUCAAUUGAGAGUUCUGAUCUUGAGAGUUGUAAGCUACGGAAGAUCAGAUGUAUUUGAGAGUUCUCUGUUGAUAAUCUAGAGUGUGAGGAGAGAGGUUAUUUGAGGGUGGAAGAACCGAAUUGUUCUUCAGUUGUAAUCUUCUUCUCGUUUAGUGGAUCUAUCAUCAUCACCCGAGGACGUAGGUCAUAUGAUUUGACUGAACCUCGUUAAAUAUCUUGUGUUCGUGUUAUAUGUAUCUUGUCAUUGUCUUCAUUCGGUAUCGGUCUUGGGCUAGGGAAUUCGGAGGGUGACCCGGAUUUCCUAACAAUUCCUAACCUAGAAGUCUAUUCAUCACAAUCGAUUAUUAAAAGCAACCAUCAUUCAAUUGAAGACAUAUACUUCAUCAAUAGACCCUAAAAGCCCAAUUAAAUUCAAUUAAGUCACGAUCAAAUUGAGACAGAUUUGAUGCAAUCACAGAAAACCAAAGGCGUCAGAAAUCCUCGUUCCCUAAUCCUUCGUUAUAUCUGUACCAAAAUUUCACCUCGAAAAAUCAAUACGGCUCAAAUGACCGGAUAAAAACAAAAGGAUCGAACGAAGUCGAAGAAUUAGAGAGAGAGAGAGAGAGAGAGAGAGAGAGAGAGAGAGAGAGAGAGAGAGAGAGAGAGAGAGAGAGAGAGAGUAGAGUAAGUAAGUAGUAGUAGUAGUAGUAGUAGUAGUAGUAGUAGUAGUAGUAUACUACUACGUUACGUUACGUUACGUUACGUUUACGUUUACGUUUACGUUUACGUUUACGUUACNNNNNNNNNNNNNNNNNNNNCCUGCCUUGAUGGAGAUGAAGUCGGGGAGGGUAUCAUUGGAGGUGAAGUUCUGGAGCAGAGAGAGAGAGAGAGAGACUUGUUGACAUCGUAGCACCGCGUCUUGAGAGGAAAUUGACUGAACAUGGUAAGGAAGUUGAAUCUUCUCUGAUCACCCAUCUUCUCCGAUCGCCCCUUUCUCUCUAUCUCUUCCCGAUACUCUGUGGAUCGGAAUGAAGCGGUGCGUGAAGGAUAUAAUAACAUUGACGCCAAAACAACAGCCAAGGGUAAAAAAAUCAUUCGAUGCGGACGGGUUGGACAAAAAAAUGACACAAAAUUAAGGGCAAGAGGGUCACGUCACUGUUCACGUGAACAGUAACUCACCCUCCUUGCUUAAUAUAUAGAGAUAAGAACCAUGUAUCAACAAAUUAAUUAAGGGCAAGUAGUAAAAUGUGGUACUGAUUAGUUCUAUUGUAUUGCAGGAGUUUCAAAUCUAUAUAUCAUCAGAAUCCAUCAAGAUAGUUGGUAACCAUGAGAGGCGUGGGACAUUAGGCCAUUAGGGACAGCAAGUGUAGCUUUACCAUGCGCAUAAGGAUUUGACGAAUCAGCCAGCUCUCUAUUCUCUUUCUCUCUCGCUUUAUUAUUCUUUUUUGUACUAGCUAUAGGUUUCCUUAAAACAAAUAAGUUUCAUACAGUGGUAUGGUAGAUAUGCGAAGGACGAUCCGUGUGGUUGUAUUGCUUUCCCUAUUAGACUAUGGAUUCACACUAUGUGCUUUCCUAUUAGAAUUUGGUUUACUAUUUUUCUCUAAAAAUCAUAGAUCAAUUAAAGAGAAAACCCCUAGCUAGCUGUGUGUUUAGUUUCUGCCGGAGCAUAUAUGGAGAAAACUGAUGAUGAUUCCAACCUGCAGCGAAAUCAUAUGCUUCGAAAUACUCCCAAGGUUACCGUGAGCAUCUAUAAUGCACUUUCGGUACGUUAGCAAGACAUGGAAAGCUCUCGUCACCGCCAACCCAGGAUUUUGGAGGAUCCAUCGAAACCUCCACCCCCAUAACACUGGUCAUCUCCUUCUAGAUGCUCACGGCUCCGGCUCCUUGGCUACCCGAAAGCACUACCGUCUCCUUGUCAAAGCCAGCCAAGAAGGAAAUACUCCGUCGAAUUGUUAGGGUGAUAACCCAUAGAGAAGAAAGAGAGAAGAAGAAGGUGAGAGAGAGAUAAAGAUAAGAACAUCAAUUUCAUUCAUAGUCCCUAAAUAGGGUUACAGCUGAGGCCUAAAUAGCCUUAUCAUGUCCAACAUGUGUCAAACAUGUGUGGCUUCUCCUUAAUCAAAACAAAUCAACUUAAUUAACUUAAGACAUCAUUAAUCAACUCAUAAAAGCAUGUGCUGAUCUUGUGAGCUGCUAAUUCUCCAAGUCAGUUUCGUAACAAUCCAGCCCCCUGAAAGACAGCUUGACCUCAAGCUUUAAAAUUCAGAAACCUGUGCAUGAUCUCUGCAGCUGUUUCCCAUGUAGUUUCUUCAGCACUCGCACCAAUCCAUUGCACCAAUCAUUUAGUUACUAGAAGAUCAUUCUCUUUCCAAACCUGUCUUGCAAGGACUGUAGAGGGGUACCAUCUCGGAUUAUAGGGAUCCAAAUCUGGUGGGAAAUGAGCAGCCACAACAGCAUUGUCUCCCACCUUCUUCUUAAGCAAUGAUACAUGAAGCACAGGAUGCACCUUAGCAGUAGCUGGCAGCUUAAGCCUAUAUGCAACCUGUCCAAUCCUCUGCUCAACUUGAUAUGGACAGUAGUAUCUUGGAGACAGUUUGUGAUUUCCCCUUCUCUUCACUGACUGUUGUUUAUGGGGUUGCAAUUUCAAAUACACCCAAUCACCUUCUUCAAACACCCUCUCAGCAUGCUUCCUUUCAUAAGCUUGUUUCAUUCUUGCUUGAGCUACCUGCAAAUUCCUCUUCAACACUGCCAUGAGUUCAUCUCUACUUUGCAGCUCUUGGUCCACUGAUGCAACAGUUGUUGAGCCUGGUACAUAGGCUUGAACUGGUCUAGGGUCAUAACUAUAUAAUGCCUUAAAUGGAGUCAUGCCAAUUGCAGAUUGGUGAGCAGUAUUGUACCAAUAUUCAGCCCAAGGUAGAGAACUUGCCCAAGCUUUUGGCUUUUCUCCAACCACACAUCUUAGAUACUGUUCAAGGGUCCUAUUCAAGUUUUUUGUUUGACCAUCAGUUUGUGGAUGGUAAGCAGAACUUUUAUACAAGGAGGUACCUUGUUCUUUGAAGAAAGCUUCCCAGAAAAAGGCUUAGAAAAACUGGAUCUCUAUCAGAAAUAAUGGAUUCUGGCAUUCCAUGUAAUUUGUAGAUGUGUUCAAUGAAUAACUGAGCCACAGUAGCUGCUGUGUAAGGAUGUGCUAAUGCCACAAAAUGAGCAUACUUAGUGUACCUAUCAAUUACCACACAAAUAACAGUUUUACCAGAUGAGUUUGGAAGGCCUUCAACAAAGUCCAUAGAAAUUUGACUCCAAGCUUUUUUUGGUAUUGUGUUAGGCUGCAAAAGACCUGGAGGAUUUACUGUCUCAUAAUGUUGUUGCUGACAAAUAUGACAUGAUGCCACAAAUGUUUUGAUAUCACUAUGCAUCCCAAGCCACCCAAAAGAUCUCUUAAUCAUCUUCUCAGUCCUGUGUACUCCAACAUGCCCUCCUUGCACUCCAUUAUGAAAUUCUGCUAUUAUCUUCCUUCUCCACUCAUCCACUGUUGGCACAAACAAUUUGCCUUUGUAAUACAAUUGAUUUUGGCACAAUGUAUAUUUGGAGUCAGAACAAGUCCCUUGCUGCAACUGAUUGAUAAGGGUGCUAGCUUCAGCAUCCAACCUGUAAACCUGCAAGCAACUUGUAUAUCCAAGACAUAAUUGUGAAUUGGUGUAGAAACCCCAAUUAUAGCAUUUAAUGACCCAUAUUUAUCCACUACAUCAGCUGAUAUGUCUCCCAAUUCUUCUCUUCUGGAUAAGGCAUCAAGAGCAGCAUUGUUCUUCCCAGCCCUGUAACAAAUUGAGUAAUCAUAGCCAGCUAACUUCAACAACCAUUUCUGUUGAGCAAGAGUGUAAAUUUUCUGCUCCAAGAAAUGUUGAAUGGUUCUAUGGUCAGUGUAUAUGGUGAACUGAGAACCCAACAAGUAAGGUCUCCAAUAUUGCACAACAAACACCACUGUCAUCAUAUCAUAAACUGAAAGAGCCAAGUGUCUUGGUGCUAAUGCCUUGCUUAAGAAGGCUAUGGGAUGACCCUCUUGUGACUAAACAGCACCUAUCCCAAUUCCAGAUGCAUCACACUCAAGUACAAAGGGUUUAGAAAAAUUUGGAAAUGCCAAGACAAGAGUAUUCAUGAGAGCAUAUUUCAACUUCUCAAAGGCCUGUUUAGAUUUCUCAUUCCAAUGAAAUCCACCCAUUUUCAACAUAUCAGUCAAGGGUUUAGCAAUAAUUCCAAAGUUUCUAACAUACUUUCUAUAAUAACCUGUAAGGCCAAGAAAACCUCUCAACCCCUUAACUGUAAGUGGCUUAUUCCACUGUUUGAUGCACUCAAUUUUUGCUGGAUUAACAGAAACUCCAUCCUUACUAAUAACAUGUCCCAAAUAUUCCACCUGAGGAACUCCAAAAUUGCACUUACUUUCUUUGAUCUUGAGCUGAUGUUGUUGUAAUCUGGAAAAGAUUGCCUCCAAAAGUGUCAAGUGAUCUGCUUCAGAAAUACUGUAUAUCAAGAUACCAUCAAAGAAUACUAGUACACCUUUCCUUAAAUAAUCCCUGAGAAUAUCAUUCAUCACUGACUAGAAUGUCGAAGGAGCAUUAGUCAGACCAAAUGGCAUAACCAAAAACUCAUAAUGGCCAUUGUGAGUUCUAAAUGCAGUCUUCUCCACAUCAGCCACAUUCAUUAUGAUCUGGUGAUAACUAGACCUUAAGUCUAACUUGGUAAAUAUGACUGCUCCCUGAACUUCAUCUAGUAAUUCAUCUACUACAGGUAUGGGAUAUUUGUCUUUAACUAUCACUGAAUUAAGAGCCCUAUAAUCCACACACAUUCGCCAACUGCCAUCCUUCUUAUUGACCAAUAAAACAGGAGAUGAGAAAGGACUUUUGCUUGGUCUUAUCACUCCAUUAUCUAACAACUCCUGCACAAUUUUCUCAAUCUCAUUUUUUUGAAAAUAGGGAUACCUGUAUAGUCUUACACUUACAGGGGGGUAUUUGGUAACAACUCAAUGUUGUGAUCUUGUUGUCUUGCUGGGGGAAGUGAAGUUGGGGCUUCGAAGAGUUCUGCAUAUUUUUCCAUCAACCUCUUGAUAUUUGCAGGAGGUUUCUGAGAUGGUAACUUAACCCCAGUUGCUUGUACUUGAAUGAGCAUAGCCUCCUUCUCAUUCCUUAACAACCUGGUCAUUGCCUUGCACCCAAUGACUUUAGAUUCACUAGAUAACUCACCCUGUAAACAAUAUUCUUGUUGUGACACAGUGAACUUCAUCUUCAUUGUUUCAAAGUUCCACAAUAUAUCCCCUAAAGACUUCAACCAAGAAGCUCCCAAUACAAUUUCACAACCUGUCACAGGUAAUAUGUAAUAAUCAUUAGCACAAUUAUAACCCUGUAGAUUAAGCUCAGCCCUUACCUCCCCCUUUGUUUGCAUUUUUGCACCACUUGCAAGAGACACAUUUAAUGGGGCAAAGUGAUGGACUGGUAAUCUAGUGCCUUUUAGAAGCUGUGGAUGGAUAAAAUUAUGGGUUGCACCAGAGUCAAUUAGAACAUGCACUUUUCUGCCAGCAAACACUCCCUUAAGCUGCAUGGUUUAAGCAUUAGACUCAUCACUCAUGAUGUGCAAUCUGAUCAUUGGCUCUUCUAAAUCAUUGAUAGGAGGAAUUGCCAUUGAUGCAUCAUCAUCUAACAAAUGCACCAAUUCUUCUUUAGCUAGUAUAAUUUCCAAGCUCAUAAGCUGACCUUUCUUCCUGCAAUUAUGUCCUGGCACAUAAGGUGAAUCACAGAAAUAGCAUGUUUCUUGGCCCUCCUAGCCUCAAAUUCAACAUUAGUGAGCUUUAGUCGCAAACUGCUGCUUGGUUGAGCUUUGAUGAAUUGGUUUUGGGGGAUAAGAUGGUAACACUGGGCGUGUGCCAAUACCAGAAUGUGAAGACCUUGUUAGUUGAACUGAGGACUGGUUUGGUGAAAAUCUGUUGAUGCUAGCACGAUUUCUCAAGUUGUUAUUCCUGCUCUCAAAUACUCUAGCCAACUCACAAGCUUCAUACAAUGAAGUAGGUUUCAAGGCUUGUACAUCAGCUAUAAUUUCUUCUUUCAGACCCUCAAUAAAAAAUGUGACUAGAAGCUCAUGAGAGAAAGCAAGAGCUCUUCUAGAUAAUCUAGUGAAUUCCUCCAUAAACUGUUCCACAGUUCCAGUUUGGUCCAUCCUUGCCAACGAAGCUUGAUACUCGGCUCUAUUGUAACUACUAAAUUCCCUCAUCAAAAGGUCUGCAAGCCCUUGCCAUGUCUGAGGAAAUUCAUGUCGAAACAUAUACCAACGAUUUAAAGCCUUCCCUGACAAAUGCAUAACUACCAGUGAUAGCUUCCUCUCUUCCGGAAUUUGGUAGAAUUCAACAAUCUGUUCACAUUUGUUUAACCAUUCCACUGGAUCCCCUCCCUUAAAACUGCUAAAUUCAAACCGCAUCUGUUUCAUUGUAGGAAGAUUUGGAUCAAAACCAAACCCUUGUGUUUGCUGCUGUGGAAAGGAACUGUAAGGAUUAGAAACUGGUGAAGCCUGGUAUGACACAUUGGGCUGAUGGGGAUAGGGUUGACUCGAAAAUGAGCUAGAAUAGGCAUGAUAAGUUGGUGAACUUGGUGGGAUGGUUGAGUUGGCACCUGUUCUAUGAGCACGAUAAGUGACAGUAGUGGCAAAAGUAGCAGGAGCAGAAGAGUACUGCAAAUUUGGGUUGGAUUUUUGACAUUGGUGCUGCAUAGUAGCACAAUCAGUCAUGGUAGCAGAAUAAGGCCAUGUAUAUGUCAUUGAAAAUGACUUUUGUGAGUUAGAACUCCCUUGCUUAGGAACCAUCUGACCCAUAUAAGGAGGAGCACCUAAAAUGGAGUGAACAACAUCUCCCUGUGCCUGCGUAUUACCCAUAAUAGAAGCAAAUCCAACAGAAGUUGCACUCUCACCCACACACUUAGUACCAGAGACAGUCAUCAUAUCAAUAGUAUCAUGCAUCUCAACACCAGAUACAUCAAUAACACUAAUGACUGGUUGAUCCAAGCUAGUACGAGCAAAUGAAAACACAUCAUGUGGAUCUAAGUUAAAUUCAGGGAUUAGGUUUAGAGAUGGAAUACCCUCAAAUCUGGCCAUUAUCGAAGACAAGGACCCUCCAGAAGGCGGAAGCACUGGUUUUAGAAUUGGAGAGGCUAUCGAUCCAAAUCUAACUGAUCCAUCAGGUUGAGUAACAGCUGCAGUAGAAGACUGAGUUUAAGGCGUGUUGUUCACACAUGCCACCAACUUUGACAUCUCAUGCUGCAUUCUAUCCACCAUUAAACUCUAGAAAUCCAAAAAGGAAGCCUCCAUUGAAGCUUUUAGUGAAGCCUGCAGCUGCGCUUGCAUCGUAUCGAGCUGAGCAGCAGUCUCUUGUCGAUGGGCCUGAAAUUCGAUUUCCAAGUGAGAGGGCUCACUGGAAAUCACAGGAGUGUCCGAUGAGGACUUGCUGGUGUUCUUCGCCUUUCCAGCCAUGACCGGAGAGGCUCUGAUACCACCUGUGUCACAUCCCGACCUUUAAAUUUUUAUCUUAUUUACUAGCUUGAUUAUAAUAAGAAUUUUACCGUCUCCGUCAAUGAAGUUAUAGUUUAAUUGGUCCCUAGAGAGGUUUUGAGGGACGAUUAUUUCGGAAGAACUAUUUGUAGGAGAAAAAUAUGACGACGGUAAAAAUGGUAAAUUUUAGCUAGUAAAAGGUUAUUUUUAUUAAGGUAUUAUAUUGGGGUGUAAAUUUUUGAUGGAGUUGGGUAUUUUUUUUUUUUAGUUUGGCCGGUUUAGGGUUAAAGGCCCAAAACCCAUAUUUUUUUCUCUUCUCUUUUUCUUCUCUCUUCCUCUCGGUUCUUCCCCUCCCGAGCUCACUCUCCCUUCGCCAGAAAUCCUCCGCACGCCGCCGUCGUCCGGCCGAGCUAGGCUGCCGCACUGGUCCUAUCUAGACCGGCGUCUCCUCCUCUCUCAUCCUUGGCCGGUGAGCGCUGCCACGUCACGGCCGAACGGGAGGAAACCCGUCCCGAAGGGGAGACUGUGUUGUCGCCGGAGCUCCCUCCUCCGGUCACCAAUCCGGGCAAGCUAUAUGCGGUUUUGUAGGUCUCCAACCCAGCUGCCUUGCCCUAAAAGGACUCACUCUGGUUCGCUUCAGGUAAGGAGAAAUUUGAGGCGGAAGUUCUAGGGCGUUUUUGUGUUGUUUUUGCUCGAUUGACCUAGUUAGGCUUGGAAUUGGGUGUUGUGCUAGUUAGGAAAGUUGUAAAGGGGUUGAGAGGAAGAUGCUGUCAAAUUUUCAUAGAAAUUGGAAGUCGCCAGAAUCGGCCUCCGGCCGCCGCCGUUUGGGAGAUUUUCAGGGUUUUAAAUGUGGAAUAUUAAGGGGAGUAUAUUGAUGUGAAUUAUGGAAUUUUCGGAUGAGUUUUGGAUAGGUUUGUGAAUUUCCGAAGUUUGGUAUUUUGGCGGUUAAUUAAUGUAGAAUCCGGUCGAAGGAUUUAAGCCAUUAAUCUGUGAAAUGUUGAUUUAAGGCUACCGGUAUGUUCGGUGAAGUUUGAGCCAUUUUGAGUUAGGCAUGGCGAAGUUGGGCAAUGAUGAGUGUGUGGGAGGCUCACGUUUAAUUUUCCCCAUUGUGUUUAAUUAUUGGAUUUUUAGUGGAAAAUUAAUUAUAUAUUUGGAACAGGACGAGAGGAGGCCCGAGCAGAAGAAGCCUCGCAGCGACAUCAGGUUUAGGCCUAAUUUGUGAGUGGACCUUUAUUUUAAUUGAAAAGCAUGCGAUGAAUUAUCUGUUGAUCAUUUAUUUCUUUUCCUGAAAUUUAUUUAUUUCUCGGAUAUUUGGCAAUUUUCCUCCUUUGGAGAGAUCCCGAAAAUGAGAUUUUCGGUGGAUAUGUUUAUGGAUAUUAUGAGUAUAGUAUGUAUAUAAAUGCUAGCUAGCCAUACGUGCUUGAUCCGUCAUAAUGAGGUAAAAUGCCAUUAUGACGUGACGUGAGUGUUAGACACUAGCGUCAUAGCCCUAUAUGAAAACUACUUUCUUUUCUGGUUUAUUUAGGUUUUCAUAUAGGGAGUCCACACGUAUAUAAAUACACCGUCCUCUACGGUCAUAAUGAGGAAAAAUAUCAUUAUGGCGCAACGUGAGCGUUAGACGCCAGCGUUGUAGCCUUGUAUGAAUUUCUAUUUUUCUAAAUUGUUUCUAGGAUUCAUACAAGAAGUCUGACGAGUGUAAAUACAUACGAAUAUAUGAUUAUAUAUAAUUAAAUUAAAUUCAGUUUACCCCCAUGAGGUUUGGGAGUAACUUCAUGUUAAUCCCUAUACUUUCAAUUUCAUCAGUUUACCCCUCAAACUUUUGAAUUUUCCUCAAGCGUGACCAAUGUCCUAUAUUCUGUCCAAAUCGGACGUUAACUGCUGAUAAUUUUAACCUUAACUGUGAGGCCCGUAUCUAGAAUUUGGGCAAAUUGGACCUUAUCUGUCCAAAUCUAACCUUAACUGCUGAUAAUUAACAGUCAAUUCAAACAGAAUAUGAGAAUUUAGGCACGGCAGAUAAAAAUUAAAGAGUUCAAGGGGUAAAUUGAUGAAAAUAAAAGUGUAAGGACUAACAUGAAGUCAUCCCCAAACCACAAGAGGGUAAACUGAAUUUAAUUCUAUAUAAUUUAGCCUGAGAGGCUCCAUUUUAUUUGAGUUGGUGACUAGCCGGAGCUAGUCGUGAAUUUACCAGUUUACGAGUUGAGCGCUUUUGAGCUGCCGCAUGCAGUAUAUUUUUCUUUGGAGAUUAAAAUGGGGAAGCAUAAAAAAAUAUUUUUAUUAAUUUAUUUUUGUCCACUCAACGUUAUUAAAUGUUUUCCCAUGGGCCCUUCGUUUUAAAAUGCCCAGUCUGCAGAGUACGGGUUGGACCUAGUAGGAGACGAGGCAUAGUCACCCGCAUUUCCACCACUUUUCAUCCGUAGGUUACCUGUUUAACCUACCUGUGUUUUCUUACUUCCGCUAGUGUCUAGUAGCUCUGAAUACUUGGGUUUAAUGUAUAUUAUUUCGGUUGUGGGUGAAGGCUUGUUGACAUUUUAGAAUAUUUGUCGGAGGAUUUAUGUUAUCUUAUUUGGAUAAUUAUGUUUUGAUGUUUGGAUGAUGUUGUGUUGUUGUUAUUGGUGGUGGUUGUGUUUGGGGAGCACGUAGGCUCCAGAAGUUAAGGUUGGAUUGAGAAUUAUUGGAGUGUUUGCAUAUUCCUUCCGGAAGGGUUGUCCAUUUUCAAGGGAGGUCAUGCCGAUUUUUCGGUAAUAUCUUCCUUGGAGGUAGUCCCCGCACGUCUUACACCGGGUUUCAGAGUGAAAUUCGGGGUGGGUCGUGUCAACCUAUUAGGGUGAUAACCAUUAGAGAAGAAAGAGAGAAGAAGAAGGUGAGAGAGAGAUAAAGAUAAGAACAGCAAUUUCAUUCAUGGUCCCCAAAUAGGGUUACAGCUGAGGCCUAAAUAGCCUUAUCAUGUCCAACACGUGUCAAACAUCUGUGGCUUCUCCUUAAUCAAAACUAAUCAACUUAAUUAACUUAAGACAUCAUUAAUCAACUCAUAAAAGCAUGUGCUGAUCAUGUGAGCUGUUAAUUCUCCAAGUCAGUUUCGUAACACUUCGAAAUACUCCCAAGGUUACCGCGAGCAUCUAUCUAUAAUGCACUUUCGGUGUGUUAGCAAGACAUGGAAAGCUCUCGUCACCGCCAACCCAGGGUUUUGGAGGAUCCAUUGAAACCUCCACCCCCAUAACACUGGUCAUCUCCUUCUAAAUGCUCACGGCUCCAGCUCCUUGGCUACCUGAAAGCACUACCUUCUCCUCGUCAAAGCCAACCAAGAAGGAAAUACUCCGUCGGAUAUCACUGACCUUGUGACACUGCCAUGUCCAUUAGUCCAAAUGGGAUAUGCUAACAGCUUGGUAUUAGGACACUGUGGUUGGAAUAAUCCCACUCGUAUAGUUAACCUCUUCACCCGAGAGUCUGUUAUUGUUCCCUAUCUUACUUUCCAGUAUGAAAAGUUGUAGUACAAACCAAUGUUUUAAAAGGCUAAGGUGUAGCCGAGGCAAUGGCACGAAAGCCUCACCAAGGCGCUUGCCUUGAGGCGUAGGCGUAAGGCGUAAGCCUUUUGAAAAAUAACCUGUAUUUAUGUUAUUAUUUCUCCUAUAUAUAUAAAACAUAUAUUGCAAUCAACACAACAUUAUACUAGCCUUUCUGCACGCGCAUCGGGCCGCGCUCACGAGUAUGUUUAUGUUUAUUGUUCAUUAUUUUGUGGUAGAGUUGACAUAUCGACUUGGCUAUUGUCUUGAAACUUUUACAAUUUGAGUAUUGAUUCCUUACGAUAAAGUAUAUUUUAUUAUAAUUUUUUAAUAAAAAUGUAAGACAAUGUUCUUCUUUGUUAAUCAACCUUCUUCAAUGUGAAUAGAACUAUAGAAGUAUCUGCAUAACUAUCACUUUAUAAAAUGCUAUUUGACCAAAAUUUCAUACACCAAUAGUUUCAAACCUUGCAUUUGCAAUCCCCUUUAGAAUGUUUGUACUUGGACACCCAACUAAAAGAAAAUACACAGAUACAAAUAGAAAUUUCUGAGCAAUAUUUCAUUUUCGAUGAGCUUCUUCUUCAGCAUAGUUUUUGGUAUCUGAUUUGGCACUCCAGAUGCCACCACCAAACCCCCACCUAUUCUUUAUUUGUCAUACUCUUAUGCAUCUCAAGUCCAUCAACCCCUCUCAUAUUCCACUGAAAUUAUCAAGUCUUAUUUCUCUCUCUGUAGUUACGUUUCUUGUUGAUCAGCAGCCAUAUUUCUCUUUUUCCUAUUUCGUUGCUUGUUAUAUAAUGGCCAUCUAGUACCUCUUUAACACCCUAGAUAGGCAAUCACCAUGAUCAUAUGACAUUAGGGGUCAGAAAUCCAACCUCUUGUGGCUAAGAUUAUAUGCUGCAAAAGCCGUCUCUUCCAUUGCCUGGAAAAAUAAAAAUAAAACUUUUUAAUGACAUACUGAAGUCACAAUAAUCUCACUAAAAAUACAAACCAAUUCCCUACAUCUUAAUAACACAAUCAUGAAUUCAUGAUUGGUAAACCAACGUAUCCUAUUCCUCUGUACCUGCUGCUUCACCAAAAAGCACAUAGGGCCACUAAGACAUUCCCCAUAAUCAUUGUUCCACAUGUUUGAACCCAAGCAGCUUCUACGUACCCAUCUGAUAAAUAUUAUACAGGGACAAAAGAUAAUUUGAAAUAAGUAUUCAUUAAUAUCAACUGGUUACAUAAGCUAGAUUAAUCCAUACAUGAAACACGCUUAUUCAACUUCAUUCACGUUAAUUGUCUAACUGUGUAAGAUACUACAGAAAAUCAACAUCAGUAAAAAAACAAUCUAAGAGUACAACCAAAAGGAAUGAAAUAUACUCACCCACAAUUGCAACAUCUUCAGGAAAAAAAAAAAAAAAAGGUUUCGAUUUCCUCUCUUCCUUUAUUUUCUCUCUCACAUUGGUUAUCUGUUUUUUCCCGUUUGCUUAAAUAAAAUAAUAAAUGAUAGAAACGGUUGUGCAUUGUGGCAGUUAUCCCCUCGUCUCUGCUCCCCUGUUGUUUCCCAUUUCUCCCUUCCAUCACGAAGGCGUCUUCCACGUAUAGAUCUAUAUUAACGUGGGAGAACAACUGCAAAUCAGAUUUCUUCAGAAACUGAAACUGUCUUAUUGUAUUAGAUUACUGCUUUACCCUUCAAUUAUUAUUUCAUGGCUUAGUAAACUUAUAAAGAGAGGGGCAAUUUCAGGGAUUAAGAUAAAUUUAACCACGACAGUUUUAUAAAGCAAAUUGGUUUAAUUAAUAGAGAUAUUGUCAUAUAUAUUUCUAGUAAGUAUUCAAACAAUACAAUUUAAGCAAUCAUCAAACAUAAAAUACAUCCAAAGGCUCAAGUUGAAAGAUCAAAAGAAAAUAACAAUAAUUGAAAUAAACUUCAUGCUUUAAAAUCAUCAUCAUCAUCAUCGUCAAUUAAGAUAUCUCCAUCCAAACUAUCAUCACCAUCACUAUUAAAUCCAUAUAUUGUAAAACAGCAUAUAUACUCUAGUACAAUUAAGAAAACACACAACUUUGAUUUCAAACAAGUUGAACAGUCAAGAAGCAGGUUCCAGUUGAAUCGGAAUGAAUGAUCAAUCUAAUCGCGCAAACCAAAAAUUCACAAGCUUUAAGAUAACAAAUGAAUAACCCAGAUGUGCGUACCUCAAAUUCAACGGCGACCGAAAGCUGAAGCCAAGCCCAGCCAAACCCAGAUGUGUUCGCAUUGUGGAAGGACUGAAGGAGGCAAAUCGGGAGAGGGAGAAGGAAUGAAGCAAAUCGGGAGAGGGAAGGAGGCAAAUUAGGAUAGGGAGAGGGAAGGAAGCAAAUCGGGAGAGGGAGAAGGCAAAUCGGGAUAGGGAGAGGGAGAGGGAAGGAGGAGGCUGUGUUUGGGGGAGAGGGAGGCUCGAAAUGGCCAAACGACCCAAACCUAGCCUUUAUUUCAAAAACCUAAACUACCCCUUUUUGAAGACGCACGCCUUUCCCGCCUUAUGUGCGCCUUUGCGCUUUUCAAGCCUUGUUCUGUGUUUUUUGCGCCUCUGCGCCUGANNNNNNNNNNNNNNNNNNNNNNNNNNNNNNNNNNNNNNNNNNNNNNNNNNNNNNNNNNNNNNNNNNNNNNNNNNNNNNNNNNNNNNNNNNNNNNNNNNNNNNNNNNNNNNNNNNNNNNNNNNNNNNNNNNNNNNNNNNNNNNNNNNNNNNNNNNNNNNNNNNNNNNNNNNNNNNNNNNNNNNNNNNNNNNNNNNNNNNNNNNNNNNNNNNNNNNNNNNNNNNNNNNNNNNNNNNNNNNNNNNNNNNNNNNNNNNNNNNNNNNNNNNNNNUUUUUAAAACACUGGUACAAACGAGUAUAGGGUUGUGGCAACCCAAGAUAUUGCAGGUUUAGUUGGGUUUAAGAUUUUCACACUAGGUCAAGGUUCAUGGAGGAACAUGGUGGUAGACUAGCUUCACCUGUCAUUCGUUCAUCCUCCACCUUCGAACUUCAGGAAUAGUGUAUGUGUCCAUGCAUGGAGUCCUACACUGGUUGGCUCCUAGUAAUGAAACUAUAUUUGCUCUUGACAUUGGAGAUGAGAGGUUAAGAAUCAUACCAGUACAUUCUUAGUGCAAGUUGAUCCAAAUAUACGAAAAGGUUAUCGAAGUGGAUAAAUGUCUCUGUAUAGCAUGUGGGGAUUAUGAGAUGGAUGGGAUGAUGUUCUGGAUUUUGAAGGACUACAAACAUCAAGUGUGGGUUGCGGAGACUAUCAAAGUUCCCUGUCUACGUUACCGUAAUUCUUACAUGCCUCAGUGUACCACCCACACUGGUGAGCUUGUAUUUGGCGUUUCUCAAGAAAAUUAUCUCCAAUUAUAUAACAGGAAAAGUAAAAGCUCUCGGCAAAGUGCAGUCAUAUUUUCUGAAAUGUUGCGUGAUCUUGGAUUGAGACUAAGUUCUUCCGUUGUUAGUUUUGAUGAUUCAAUUGUUCCCUUAUAAUGAGAACUGAAUAAUCGAGAAAUUAUCGAUAUUAUUUCAAGAAUAAUAAAGAAACAAUGGAGGAUGUUUCAUGUAGAUCACUACUUGAUAUUUUCAAUUUAUAAAUUUUCGUAGUUUAGUUGAGAUGUUUUUAAUAUAUGUGCUUCAGCAGAACUAUAGCUUGAAUGGAGGAAGUAAUGUGAAUGUCAUCCAUUACAAUGUUUAGGCAACUUGAAGGUCCUAGGGAGGGGGGGGGGGGGGGGGGGGGUGAAUAGGCCUUUAUUACUUUUUCGUCCGAUUUCGUUCACAAGGAUAGCAAACAUUUAGCUAUCCUGAUAACAGGAAGACGUAGUAAUAAAUAAAAGAACAAGUACUGGAAAGUAAAAGAAAUAACACCAGUACGUUUUUUAUUCGCAGAAACCCUGCACCAGGGAGAAAAAAUGCGUGCCCCUAACUCUUGAGGGACAAACCUUUCCACUAUGUAAAACUCACUUAUUACAAGAUUAUAGUCUAGGGAUACAACGACGAUUUGCAAUCCUGCCUAGUCUACCCACUAGUCUAGAUCUAUCUCUCCUGUCUCUGAGUGACUCACCUCACUCCUCACAAGAUUAUAGUCUAGGGAUACAACAACGACUUGCUAUCCUGCCUAGUCUACCUACUAGUCUAGACCUACCUCUCUUGUCUCUCAAGUGUUUACAUAUGAAGGUAUAAGAAGAAGUUUCAACUCAAAACUCAGCUAACGCCUUUAACUGAUUCUUCUUGAACACUUCUCAGAAUACUCAACUCAGAACUCAGCUAUCCUAAUUAGAGGGAUUCUUCAGACCUCAGCUAACACCUUUAACUGACUCUCUAGAACUCAGCUCUCCUCGAUCAACUGAUCCUUCUUGAGUACUUCUGGGGUUGCUGCACUACCAUCACUCAUGAUAUNNNNNNNNNNNNNNNNNNNNNNNNNNNNNNNNNNNNNNNNNNNNNNNNNNCUCCGCCUCCUCCCUCCUCCCUCCUCCCUCCUCCUCCCUCCUCCCUCUCCCGGUCUCCACCUCCUCCCUCCUCCCUCGCUCUCCCGGUCUCCAAGGUUAGCGUUUUUCUUCUUUUUUACCCUUGAUUUCGAAUUGAUUUUUAGGUUAUGUUUUAUGUUUUAUGUACUGUCUAAUUUCCCUAAUUUAUGUUUAGGAGAUAAAUUAUCCUCAUUUUUUAAACAUAUGCUUUGUUGAUAAUGAACUUGAUGCUUGCAUUCCAUGAUUAGCUACUGCAUUCAUUGUGGGCUGGGUACGAAUUUUUAAACAUAAGAUACAAAAUACAAAAUAGAAAAACCUAUAUCAAAUCCGGAUGAAUAUAUAUAUAUAUAUUUUUUUAUUGAAUUUAUAUUUUUGAAUAAGUAUAAUUUUAAACUUAUAUAUAUUUCACAUUAUAUUAAGUGUUUAAAUUUAAGCAUGAACAUAAUGAAAAAAAUAUGGUUUCAAAAAUAUUUUCUAUAGAAUAAAGACAAAAUAAUCUAGAGCCUUAGAUUUGAGAAGGAUAAGAUUGAAUAUUUACUUUUUCAAUGUUGCCUCAACCUGGAUUCAAAUUAAUAUUUUAAAUAGGAUGAGCGGCUAUUUUAGAUCGAAGAAGAGUUCGAAGUGCCAAAGGUCCGAAUCGUCUGAGGGAACCUCUAGCAACCCCCAAACGAUGUUUCAGGGCCAGAUGACAGCCAAACGUGCGAGCCUUCUGGAGACGGCGCAGAGGCAGCCGGAGGUGCCUCUUUCAUCGAGGCAGGCGGUCGUCCCUCGUUCCUCGAGGCAGCUGUGGCCUCAGACCCAGACGGAGGUGUCUGCACCCCGUAUGCCUGAGAUACACCGAGCGCCCACUCCGGGUCCUACUUCUUCGGAUAAUGGGUCAUCUGGGGUACAGAUGGCGCCGCCUUAUCUGUUCCUUCUGCGAAUGAUACCGGCCUUACCUGUAGUCGAUGGCUCAGGGACGCCGAUUUAUCCACUGCCCCCGCCAGUGGCUCCAUCAGCGGCGUACCGGUUCGUGCCUUUUGAUACGCCUCUUAUUUCCACGAGGGUAUCAUCAUCGGCGACAUAGACUGAAUACGUCGCGUCCGCCGCGAGCGCCUCAGGUAAUCAAUGAUGCAUGAUUAUUUUUCUUAUAAUUAAUAAUAAAGGGUCUCCGAUUUUAAUAAUCAAUUUGGUUUAUCAUGUGAUAGGCACCGUCGGAGCGAAGCCGACAAAGAAGAAGAGAGGCCCCGUCACAGGGAAGGCUCUCGAGAAGAUCGUGGGUACCGUGGGGAGGAUAGUCAUCAAUACUGACGGGGAUGGCCACAUAGUAUCGGGCGGGAAGUCGAGGACGUACUCCAGCUGCGUGGGAGCGCUCAUUAGGGAUAGAGUCCCUAUGUUGUGGUCAGACUGGGGCGAGGUCCCGCAGGAGGUUAAGAACAUGGUCCACAACGAGAUGUCGGUGAGUUUACAAAAUAAUAUUAUGUAUUACAUUGUUGAUUUCUCGAAAAACUAAACCAAUAAACGGUUAAAUGCAGGUGUGGUUUGAGAUUCCCGAGCACCUGAAGGACAGCUGGGCCGACGUUGUGCAUGGGGGAAGGUACGUUGGGAAGUUAAUGAAAAACAAAAUUGUAUGUGAUAUUAANNNNNNNNNNNNNNNNNNNNNNNNNNNNNNNNNNNNNNNNNNNNNNNNNNUAAUGGGUUUAUGAAAGAGUUUUUGCUCUUGCUCUUGCUCUAAGAUUUACAAUCACCAAGGGAAGACUUAGAGGCAAAUGAGCAAUGCAAGGUAAAACCUAUACCCAGCUAAAACUAUGUAGAAAACUACAUCUUGAACAACCAAAGAGCAAGAAGAGACUUGCUCCAUAUAUAUAGGCAAAGUGCAAGCUAAAGGAGAGCAUGCACGUUUACCAAAAUGGGAGGCAACUUUUGGACUUUAGUCCUUGUCCAAACUCAUAAAGUGAGAGGGCCAAAGGACAAACAAAAGGCUCCAAGAGAGUAAAGACAAACACAACUCUCUUAUAUGAUAAAAGGUUUUGUGAAUGAUGGAGACACAACAAAACAUAUUCCUAUAUGAGGACACAUAGGCCAGCUGAUAGCUUGGGCAGUGCAUCACAUGGCUUAGCAGCUGACUUGGUUUAUGUAUCACAAAACCCAGCUGGACUCAAAAAGGAGCUGACCUAAAAGUGCUCUAGUCAUGUGCUUAUGGGUUGGAAGAACAACACAACCCUAGACUAACUUAGAGCUCAAACACGAUGAAAAAUGUUUUGCUAAAAGAGAUUUGAAAUUCAAAUACUGAACAGCUGAAGCAAAACCAUUUAAAUCUGCACGAAGUCAGACUCAGAGAUUAGGAUAGAUACAACACGGGUAUCUACCAAAUCUGGAUGGCAAGCAGAGCUGCCAUCCUGAAUGAAUGUGAUGCACAUGCAUAAACUACCUGAUGUAUAUGAGAUAAAAACAAAUAGCCAGCUAAUAUAUUAGUUUGUGUAUCACAAACCUAGCUGGAGCCUCUAAGCUCUAGUCAUGUGGUCACGGAUUGGAAACACUACACAACCCUAGACUGACUUGAAGCACCAAGGCAACGACAAAUGUUUUGCUAAAGGGGAUUUGAAUUCAAACAGGGGAAUUCAAACUAAUGAUACACAAAUAGCAAAAGCAUUUAGACAUGCAUACAUAUAGACCCAAUAGAUUAGGACAGAUACACCAGGAGGUAUCAUCCGAUCUAGGAUGACAAGCAAAGCUGCCAUUCUCAGUGAAAAACAUGAGAUGCAUAUGCAUGAACUACCUGAUGCACAUGAGAUCUUGGCAGGUCUUCAUUCUUCACUUGUGAUAUCCUUACCAUCAGGAUAUGUAGAAUUCUCAGUGAAAAGCAUCAGAUGCAUAUGCACCAGUUACCUAGGACACAUGUGAUCUUGUCAAGUCUUCAUUCUUCACUUGUGAUAUCCUUACCAUCAAGAUAUAUAAAAUAGCUUGUGUCUUGUGUUUUGAUCAUAAAAGGGAUAGCCAACAAUCCUUAUACCAACACAACUCAUUCUCCCGCCAACGCAGUUCAAAUUGAUAGCUACCUCAUCAGCAGAAGAUCCAAAGACUCUACUCACUAAUUUUUGUGAGGACAAGUAGUGUUGAAAACGAAAAGGCGAUAAAUGGAAAAUCUGGUUUUAAUUAAGAAAGAAAGAUCCUCAAAUUAAAGAAAAAAAGAUUACAAAAUUGAUGAAGGAUCAGAAAAUCGAUCUGCAAUUGCACAAAGCUUUCUCUGCUUUUCCCCUUCAUCCAUAAAUGAUUUCGUGUCCCAGUUAUGAAGAAUAAACAACACCUGUAUAUAGGCUGCAUUGCGCAUUCACAACUGAAACUCCAUCUUUGAUGUUUUCCUUAAACUUCUUCUUCCACAUGUCUUCCUCUUCUUUAUUUCCCUCAACAAAACCCUAUCCCUUUCCUUUUCUUUGUUUCUCAUCUUAACUCUUUACGCAAAUGAGUCCAACCCCUACGAGAUCAGCACAACAAAAGCACACACGAGAAAAAUUGAAAGCAGAUUUUGCCUUGCCAGGGCCAAAAUGUGCUUUAUGAAAAUCAAUAUCAGAUUCAAGUCCUCAACGAACCCACAUUGUGUUUUUAUGUUUUGAUGAUGAAGCAAAGAGAAGAAAGAAAGUGAAAUGAUGCAUGGAGAGACUGAUCGAGUUAGAUCGAUCUUGAGUCUAGCUAUGACACAUUGAUUCAUUUGGUGAUUGCCGAGCGUCAGUCAUCCAGAGCUUUAACGUACUCAGAGCCUCGAGUUUGGUCCCCAAAAGCUAGCUAGCUCGAUAACAACUACGCAAUCUAGGGCCUUCUUCUUCCUCUAUAAAAUGAGGCUUACUUGCAUCCCAUCACCUCAUCAGAUCUCUAACUCAUCUCUGCAUACGCGCCCAAUUAAGUCGUGUACUGAAGUGCAGGGGGCAUUCCUAAUCAAUUAGCUGCAAAAUGGCUGGUUUUUCCCACAUUAAUGUUCAGGGUGAUAAUAACCAGCUGAUGAUUCCUGAGGGAACUAGAUGGGAAAACAUUAACAUUUCUCCUCCCAUGACGAUGGUCCCCAUGAUAAGCCAAGAGGAAGGCAGUAGUUCUAGGAAGCGUAGGCGAAAAUCGAAUAGAAAGGAUGACUUCCUAGCUCGACUUCAUCUGCUUGCGCCAAGAAUUCCAAAACGACCACCGCCAUCUCCGGUAGUACCUUUCCGUGUAAGUUUAGAACAUUUUCUGGUGGAGAUUUUCAGAUACAAAGUGUUUAUCUAAUGGGUUUUCAGCCUUGACAGGAUCGAUGAUAUACUAUACGCAUAUGCAUACAGCUGCUCAUAUAUAAAUUUUUAGUAAAGUUUGAAUGGAGGUUAACCAAUCUUAUUCAUUUCCGGACCCCAAAUUGACAUUUAUGUGAUCCUAUUGCCUCGCCCAAAAAUGUUUUACAGGGAUCAUCUUCAUAGAUCAUAUUUGACUUCUCAUUGUGUGAAGUGCAAAGCCUAAACAAUUAACUUUUUUUUUCUUUUUUUUUUUGGAAAAUCCUUGCUUGAUGUGAACUUCUAUAUUAUUAAGAUCAACUGAUCAAGUAAAUUCAUUUUCCAUGUAUACCUUAAGGUAAUUAAGGUGAUAUAUACGAUGUAAUUAAACGGUUGUGGCGCGUAAUUUUUUCAAAUAUCUACGAAUUAUUUUAUGCCUCGUGUCCGU
This 21028-nucleotide long non-coding RNA is filed under the name Fragaria vesca (wild strawberry). Its description in RNAcentral is "long non-coding RNA (FVES_LNC005618)". The record is from RNAcentral. Lineage: Eukaryota; Viridiplantae; Streptophyta; Magnoliopsida; Rosales; Rosaceae.